CAGGUAGGGUGUGGUACGCUUAUCUGGAAGAAUGGGCUGUGCUCAGAAUGGGGUUAAUGUUCCUGAGAUUGUCAAACUGCAUUUCAGAGAAAGUCUCCGGGGAUAAAGAAUGAAUUUCUUUACUGCUGCAAGGGACUGUCUGGAUCAGGAAAGCCGUGUCUCCUGCUGGGCAGGGGAGAGGGCUGAAAUACGGCUAUGGAUGAGGAGACAUCGGCAUGUUCUGUUCAGAUCUUGCCCAAGAAGAGAAAUGGAUCACCUUAAAAACCCGAGGGCUUGAGGGACGUUGUCAUUUUUGAAGAUCAAGUGUUAAAGAAAGCAGGAGGCAUUUUGGUCACUGACACCCGGUUGCCCCCAGGCAGCUCUGCUACACGAGCUGAGGACAUCUCUUCCCACCCAACCCUCAGCCAAUGGAUGGGCCUUGCCACCUCCUUCUGGCAGCAGAGGUGGCACUGGGCACAGUGUGUUCUGCUCUCCAUUGGCCCAGGAAUGCAGCACAGAGGGGGAAGAGGCUUGCCAACAUCCAACAUGUUUUCAGCAUCCCCAGAGAAACCUGUGAGCUGUGCUCUGUUGGAUUCAGACGUGAGAUGGCUGCUUGUGAUUAUAAGAUGCGCGUAUGGACAUUUCCAAUUCCCUCCCUGGAGGACUGCAUAGGAGCUUACAACUCAAGUUUCAGGUUGGCUUUAAAGCUUUCAGUCUUUUAAGCUUCUUUUUUGGAAGUCUUGUAUAUGGUUCAGUAAUGAGAUCAACAAAAGCUGGUUUCCCCCAUAUGCUGAAGCGGCGGGGGUAUGUAAUGGGUCGGUCUGUAUUUUAAAGAGGGAAACAUUUUCAAUAUGAGACUGCUGGAAUAUCACUUUCCAAAAGGCUUUUCUUGGAAAUCAGAGGAUUUCCCAAAUUUCCCUUUUCUUAAUCCAGUGUGGUACUUAAAUAACAUGUCCCUCACAGUACACACUGCAAUGGGAAAUAAUUAAUAUAAAAACAGAAGUAUAUUCACACAAAAGUCAUGCUAGGCUUCCUGUAGAAAAGUAUUACUUGAAUGCUCUUUUAUAACAUGUCUCAGUUGCAGCAUAAUGACAUAUACCCUUCUUUGUACAAGCAGUUUGCUCUACUGCGUCAGGAAAUCGUAUUGCUAUUGCAAAUACAAAACAUAUUCUUCUAAUUUCAAUGAAAUCUUUUAACUAGUUCCCCGCAUAUGCUUUAUUUUUUUUCUUAUCUUUACAAUAUAAUGCAAUAGGUUUCACUUCCCAGAUUUCUAAUUAUUACUCUAACGUACACACGCUAAGCUGUGCCAUUAAACAUUUGAACUCCUAAUGCAAAUAGCUACUAAGAAAUUUUCAGUCAUUGAAUUAAGUCAUUACCUUCCUUUGACUGUUUACAAUUUCACCUUUUCAGUGAUUAUCAGAAAGACUUGAUCAUGACUGCUUGCUAUUCUAAAAAAGGAGUGAUCAAACAAGGGAAUUCAGGUUGUAUGUCUGCUGCAUGUGGUGCUGUCCCUUCCCCUUCCCAUUUCGUGUACACGUUACUGUUGUUGGGAAUGAGUCUAAGUGUUUUAAAUACAAAAUAUCUCAACUACUUAAAAAUCUUCAUCUAAAUGUUCUCAAUAUUACCUGGAAAUUUUGUUUUUAACUGCAUUUCGAAGCCAAUAUCCUCCUGUUGUAGCAGUUUUCCAUAUACAGAGCUCCUGUGGCAAUGGUAUGGCUGCUUCAAGAACUGAAAUGUUCGUGUUCACUUGUGCUUUAUUUUGCUAUCCAUCAACAGAUUAACUAUGGUUUACUUUUUUUGUUUGUUUAAACAUGAAUGCCAUGUUGCUAAAAUCAGGGAGAAAAUUAAUUAAAUACGAUUUCUGAAAUGAUACCCAAGUUUCUAUUAAUGCUUUUAUUUUUGCUUAAAAAAAACCACAACAAAACAACUACAGGCAAUGAGGAAACUAGCCUAUGUAAGGUAAGAGCUUCUUCCUCCUCUGUUUCAACUGGUAUUUGAAAGUUGUUUCUGUUACAGCAUAUGUGAAACAACGGUGUUCAGCAGUGCUACUGAGAAGGUACCAAAGAGAUCAGAUGUAACAUUGGCACAUACCAAAGAGAUGAAAUUCUGUCUCCAUGUCUUACGCUAACCAGAGUCAACAUUCUAAAAUAAGUAUUUUGAUUUCAAAGUUAAGAAACCCAGAGCAACAUUUUAGAAGUUAAAUACACAACAGUAGUAAAUACGGAAAAUACAGUUGAUAAGCAGAGCGAUGAGGCAAAAGAAAAUAAGUAUAAUAGUUGAUUUGUUUAAAUGUUAAUUCUUUGUCAUGCUUGGCUUCCCCCCACCCCUUACAUGUAGUGUGUUGUCAGUCUAAGCAGUACAGGUAUGCGACAUAGUGAGAUGGUACUACCUUACAUGGCAUAGGUUGAAUUAAUUAAUCAAAAAGGUAACGACACUGGAAGGCCUGAUAUCUGCAUCAGUAUGUGCUAGCCACAUUGUGUCUGAGGAAAAUGAGGUUAAAAACACAGUUUUGAGAUAUACAGUACUUCUUCACAAAGAGAACUUGUCCAAAAGAAAGACAUCCUCUUUCAGCACAGAUUUCUCGACGAUUUCAAACAGUAACAUGAAAACUGAAAUUACAGUACAACCGCUAACGCUGAGAGAUACUUUGGUAAAUACCACUGGGUGCAGAUAUCAGGCAUUUCACCAUAUUCCAGAUGGUUUACCCUGACAUACGUAGUCAAGAGUUUGCUAUGAACUACUGAGAUUGAAUUUUCUAUACAUUUGAUUUAUCCAUGAGAAUCAGCGCUCCUUGUAGAUCAAACUGAACACCCUACGUAGGACCGAUAGAGCGGAAUUAUUCAAGUUCACUGAAAUAUUACAAAAAGGCUUCCUUUUUAGGAAAACUCAGCUAUGGUAAAAAUAUCUACUACAGUGCACUGCACUGUAAUAAAUAUUCAACAUAAAUUAAUAAUUUACAAGUACCUGAGCAAGUAUACAGAGCACCAUAGCACAGCACAGCACCAAAGGCAGUAGCUCAGAACUCUUAAAAAAUAAUGCUGUUUUAAACAUUAAAAAGUCUAAGUAUUGUCAUAAAAAUGAACUCCAGCUGGAGUUGAAAGAUAGUGCAAACUUCUGUCUUCACUUUUUAAAAUAAAGGUGUCUGAUUUCCUCAUCAUUUCACAUCAGCAGCAGCAUUGCUGGACCUGGGUACCGGCGGUGGAUGCUUAGGAGCAGGUCUGUUGGAAAGAGAACAGCAAACUGUUACUUAAACUUGUGUUAGGUCUCACUGCCAGCACCAUUCCUGAGUCAUGAAGAGCAAUGCCAUGGUGAGAGCUAUCCAAGCUGACUUUAGGCAAUAACAUGGGGCUGCUGUGCUGGGACAGGUACCCUACGUACCACCACACACACGCCAUCAAGACACAGAAGUGGCACAGCAGCCUCCUCCUCUGAGCUCAGGUGUUAAUUGCUGCCUGGCUGAUGGAUAAGCUCCCUGUUUCAGGUGUUGUCCUUCCUUUAUUUCUUUGGGUGCUUGUUAGUUUUUCACCCCUUCAAAAACAGUACUUCACAUCACAGAGUAGCAGUUGGUUUAAAACAAUGGAAGCAGUCAGCUGGAAACACUAUUACUUUCAGAUUACCCUACUAGAAGACACAGCCAGGAGCUUAAUCAAAGCAUGUUCUUAUGGUCUUUUUGCUAGAAGUACUAGGAAACUGACUUGACUAUGUUCUGAGCAAUGUUAAAUGCCUCAGCAGAGGAAUUCCUAUGGCUUAAAACACUACUUUUAUCUUCCCUGCAGGUCACAGGAUCACACAGAGUCACAGAAUCGCAGGGAUUGGAAGGGACCUCUGGAGAUCACCUAGUCCAACCCCAAGUAUUUGUAGGAAUAUGAAGAAUAUUGGAGAUACUGUGCGAGAGAUUUGAAUUUCAGAUUAUCUGGUGGUAAAGGAAGAACAACAUAAACUGAAUACAUACAGUUGUAAAAGAUGACAUAGAGAAAAGUGGAAGAACUAGCAAUGACAUUAAAAUACAGAUUUAGAUGAGCACAGAAGCAAACUGCUCAAGUCCAGUUUGAACUGAGAACAUCUGUGAAUUUUUUUUUUUUGUUUAGAGAUGCUGCUGUGCUUUCAUUCUGUGGAAUGACAUGAUUCAUUAAUAGGGAACAGAAGUCAUCUGCUGUCAGACAUGAGCUCAUGUCUCUUGUGUGGUCCCUGACGCCCUGCAAACAGGGCAGGGUGUCUAUUUGUGGUUCACCAUUAUGAAGAACUGGGACAGAUUAACUGACUUGCUCAGGUCACACACAGACUCUCCAGUGUACCCUAAAUCUCCAUCUGCUAUGGAUCUCACCACGCUUUCUCUAAAAACGUUGCACAGAGUAAUUUUACACUUCACUGCUAGUUAGUUUGCUGUAACUGGUAAGGUUGACCAAAAAGAAGCAUAAUUUAAAGAUCCCCUGAAAAAUGUAAUCAGAACAGACCCCUGGAGGCAUGAAUUACUCAUGAACAGAACAACAGUUUUCACCAUUGGUUCUGAGCAUCCCUUUGUUUUCAUACUUUUUGUGACAAAUGUUUUACUCUCUCAGACAGCAAACGCAGGGUGACUAUCAGUAGGCAUUUUAAGAAUGGAUUAAAACAAAAAAUGGUAGGGAAUGAAAGACUUUCCGAGCAGCCAAGGACUAAUGGGGCCAUAUAAUAGAACCAUUAAUGUUGGAAAACACCACUAAGACCAUCUCGUCCAACCAUCGGCCCACCAUUACCAUACCCUCUAAACCAGGCCCCUCAGUGCCACAUUGGUUGCUUUUUUUUUUUCAACCUUUUUGUUUGGAGAAGAAGCUGGCUGGAUUGGCUAACCCAUGUGUGACAAAUUUGGACAGCUCUUUGUCUGGACUUGGCCAUGGAGUGAGCACCUUCCGUUGCUGAGCAUGAAGGUAACCUUCAGUGCCUUACCCAAGUGCAUUCUUUUGGUCACAUCGAUGUUUAUUCUGAAGAUGCUGACACAUCAUUCAUACUACAAAGGUAAUUUUGAUGGGUACCAGCUGAACACCUGAUUUCAUUUCCUGACUGGCUGGGAGAUUAAUACUGACUGUGAAUCUGGCCCCUCAGUAAAGUAUGUUUGUGUUGUGAAAGCACCUGAAAAAAGCUGUUUAUUAGUUUAGUUAAAUAUUAAAUAUUGUUUAAAUAUUAAACUUGGCAACAGUUCAUUUGCUGGUUCUUUUGUUUGUUUUAUUAUUAUUUUGUUAAAACUAUUUUAAUUAAAUCUUAAAGGGAAUAUACUAUAAAGUAAUAAUUCAUUCACUGCUGUCUCAGUAGCCACUAGAGGGGAAAACACUUGUCUUACAGCUCACCUUGUACGUUGUGCCUUAUCUACCCACUGCUCUCAGCCAGAGGCAGCAGGAAAGGAGUUCGUGUGCAAACACAUCUCACAUGAGAGAAGCUGACCAAGGCAGACAGAAACAGUGAAUGGUUUGGGGUACUCUUCUUCAGCAGUGUACUGCAACACUGAGCACCUGGAUGAUAUAAAUGAAGUAGCAGUGAUUUUUGAAGUGCUUUCCCUUGACCUGUUGGAUGCUGUUCCAAGGAAUUGGUGCAGAUGGAAUACUUCAAGUAGCAUCCAUGUAUAUUAGACCCGAAUUAUUCUAAAGCUAAUUUACUUCCUCUAAACUUUGAGUGGGUAAAAAGCUAAUUUGGGAAGAAAAUAUUUUCUUCCCAUACAGUCAUUUCUGCAUCCCUAGAGUAUAAAAUGGAGUUAUUUCUGACAAUCUUGAAUUGAAAUUAUAAUUUUGAAAGAAUGCACUCUUGCUCACUCUCUAAGUUGCCUUGAGUUGAUCCCAUGGCUAUUCUGUUUCAUACAGCAAUCGAAAAUUGAAAACAUGGAUAUUUUGCUUGAUAGAGUAACAGUUGCAAUUAAUUUCAGCUGCUAAGCUGAAAAGCUUUUUCGCAGUUUCAGUCCUGUCAGUUUGAUACUGACGGUGCUAGAGAGCUGGUAUUCUGCUUUGUGGGAUUUGAAGGAGUGGGUACUUAGAGAGAGAAACUGAAGAGGUGCAUUUGGUCCCUUGGAUUUGCUGUGGCCGGGUGGGGCAGAUAUACUAUCAGAUUGAGAAACUGUCCCAUUUUCUUGGACAGCCCUUUCUCUGUCUGUCCUCUGCUAGUGAGGGGUGGCUAGUACAGUGCUAGGUGAGCUUUUUUUUUUAGUGAACCAUUUGAUUAUGGAAUAGAAAAGUCCUUGUACUUAAAAUACUAAUUUUGACCAAUGUGAAAUACGCAGAAUAUUCUAAGAAAUACAAGGAAACAAACAGCGAAACCAUCAGAGCUAAAGACAAAAGCAGUGCCAACUGGUACCAGUCCAGAUCUCCCAUAAAACCCAUAAUUGAAUCAGUAUUUCUAAUUCCCUUGAAAGGGAAAAUAAAUGACUGCCAUCUUCCGAAGCACUGCAAUUCAAUAGCUGUUUCUCAGAGCCACAUCCACCUACUAACCCCUGAGAAAGUGCCUCAGGACCAGCUCAUGAGGAUGCUGUAUGAAAAAGGCACUGUCCUUGGCCAUCCUAGCCAGCUUUCUAGUAGGCACAGUCCCUCAAGACACAGCUGAUUGAGUAAACAUUUGAAGUAAAUGCACACAGACCAAUGUGCUGCUCAUUUAAGAUACAUAGCUUGGUGCUAAUGACAUGCACUUCUCUUUAAUCUUGUAGUUUAUCCAGAACAGCAUAAUGUCUACAAAACAGAACUAGCUGGAUGCCUGAGUCCUUUUCUAAUGCUCAGCCACACUACAAAUGGGACCGAGAGAGAAGUUAGUGACAAGAAAAGGGCAAUGUAACGCAGACAAUUCCAUCUCCCCUGAAUACUGCCUUGAGAUGCAUCUUAUUAGAAAAAGUGCUACCAGCUCUACUCAAACAUUGGUCUACAUGAAAUAAGUGUGGACAAUCAGAAGUCUUUCUUUUGAGAUCUGUGCUCUGUAAUAACCCAACAAAUCACACACCCUUUAAAAGAACUGAACUACAAGCGAAUAUAUGUUUUGUUCCUGGGCAAGAUAUUUGCAAUUUGACUUCUUCAACUAUAUAUUUACAUUUGUCACCUUCGUAACAGCCCCUGUGUCUUCCCCUCUGGUUGGGCAGGAGGAAGGACAAGUGUGAGUCUGGCCAUGACAUGGAACUUGUUUGUACUGCUGUGUCUUCUGCGUGCUUGAACUUUGGGAUUGCUCCCUCCGUUGGCAGAAACCAGUAUAACCUUCCUGAGUAUAAUGGGAUCUUAAGGAGUUGCUAUUAUCUACACAGCGCUAAGAGUACAAAGAAAAGACUAUGGCAAAAGGCCAAUGGCAAAGAUGAGAAAAACCACUUCAUUCAUAUUCAACACAUGCAGAUAUUCACACACUCAACACGGGA
This is a long non-coding RNA of Numida meleagris (helmeted guineafowl), 7330 nucleotides long. RefSeq lists it as uncharacterized. The transcript is spliced from 5 exons. The record is from RefSeq and is a predicted model, not a curated record. NCBI's taxonomy places the organism in Eukaryota, Metazoa, Chordata, Aves, Galliformes, Numididae.